AUUGAACGCUGGCGGCAGGCUUACCACAUGCAAGUCGAACGCGUGGCGGACGGGUGAGUAAUGCUUGGGCAUCUAGCUUAUGGAGGGGGAUAACUACGGGAAACUGUAGCUAAUACCGCCUCCCUUAGGAUGAGCCCAAGAGGGAGUUGGUAGUUGGUGAGGUAAAGGCUCACAAAGCCGACGAUCUCUAGCUGGUCUGCGAGGAUGACCAGCCACACUGGGACUGAGACACGGCCCAGAAUCCUACGGGAGGCAGCAGUGGGGAAUGUGGCGCAAUGGGGGCAACCUGACGCAGCGAUGCCGCGUGAAGGAAGAAGGCCUUCGGGUUGUAAGGGGCUUUCGGGAGCGAGGCGUUAACUACAGAAGAAGCACCGGCUAACUCCGUGCCAGCAGCCGCGGUAAUUC
RNAcentral lists this ribosomal RNA (405 nucleotides) under uncultured bacterium. Its description in RNAcentral is "partial 16S ribosomal RNA". It matches the Rfam family "Bacterial small subunit ribosomal RNA", at positions 29 to 526 of the family's 1533-position model. The record is from RNAcentral.